ACGCUUUUUACUUUUAGCUUGCUAGAAGUAGAAGGAAGUUGCGAACGGGUGAGUAACGCGUAGGUAACCUACCUACUAGCGGGGGAUAACUAUUGGAAACGAUAGCUAAUACCGCAUAAGAGUUUUUAACACAUGUUAGAAGCUUGAAAGAUGCAAAUGCAUCACUAGUAGAUGGACCUGCGUUGUAUUAGCUAGUUGGUGGGGUAAAGGCCUACCAAGGCGACGAUACAUAGCCGACCUGAAAGGGUGAACGGCCACACUGGGACUGAGACACGGCCCAGACUCCUACGGGAGGCAGCAGUAGGGAAUCUUCGGCAAUGGGGGCAACCCUGACCGAGCAACGCCGCGUGAGUGAAGAAGGUUUUCGGAUCGUAAAUCUCUGUUGUAAGAGAAGAACGUGUGUGAGAGUGGAAAGUUCACACAGUGACGGUAACUUACCAGAAAGGGACGGCUAACUACGUGCCAGCAGCCGCGGUAAUACGUAGGUCCCGAGCGUUGUCCGGAUUCAUUGGGCGUAAAGCGAGCGCAGGCGGUUUAAUAAGUCUGAAGUUAAAGGCAGUGGCUUAACCAUUGUUCGCUUUGGAAACUGUUAAACUUGAGUGCAGAAGGGGAGAGUGGAAUUCCAUGUGUAGCGGUGAAAUGCGUAGAUAUAUGGAGGAACACCGGUGGCGAAAGCGGCUCUCUGGUCUGUAACUGACGCUGAGGCUCGAAAGCGUGGGGAGCAAACAG
Molecule: ribosomal RNA, 729 nt
Filed under: uncultured bacterium
Lineage: Bacteria
Description: bacterial SSU rRNA
Rfam family: Bacterial small subunit ribosomal RNA
Source: RNAcentral